This 127-nucleotide small nucleolar RNA is filed under the name Castor canadensis (American beaver). Its description in RNAcentral is "Small nucleolar RNA SNORA51 (ENSCCNG00000006901.1)". It matches the Rfam family "Small nucleolar RNA SNORA51". Rfam says of the family: ACA51 is a member of the H/ACA class of snoRNA that guide the sites of modification of uridines to pseudouridines. Lineage: Eukaryota; Metazoa; Chordata; Mammalia; Rodentia; Castoridae. The record is from Rfam by way of RNAcentral.
GGCCUCCUGGUGCUUAUUACAGCUGUGUUCUUACACUGUAUAGAAAGAGGAGGCAAAGUAAACCUACCCCAUAUGCAUCUCAGACCAGGCCGUAUGCCUGGUCUGCAUUGUGAAUGGGGAAACAUGA